UGGGGAAUUUUGGACAAUGGGCGCAAGCCUGAUCCAGCAAUGCCGCGUGAGUGAAGAAGGCCUUCGGGUUGUAAAGCUCUUUUGUCAGGGAAGAAACGGUGAGGGCUAAUAUCCUUUGCUAAUGACGGUACCUGAAGAAUAAGCACCGGCUAACUACGUGCCAGCAGCCGCGGUAAUACGUAGGGUGCAAGCGUUAAUCGGAAUUACUGGGCGUAAAGCGUGCGCAGGCGGUUAUGUAAGUCAGAUGUGAAAUCCCCGGGCUCAACCUGGGAAUGGCAUUUGAGACUGCAUGGCUAGAGUGUGUCAGAGGGGGGUAGAAUUCCACGUGUAGCAGUGAAAUGCGUAGAGAUGUGGAGGAAUACCGAUGGCGAAGGCAGCCCCCUGGGAUAACACUGACGCUCAUGCACGAAAGCGUGGGGAGCAAACAGG
Molecule: ribosomal RNA, 429 nt
Filed under: Variovorax paradoxus
Lineage: Bacteria; Pseudomonadati; Pseudomonadota; Betaproteobacteria; Burkholderiales; Comamonadaceae
Also listed under: 2 other names
Description: partial 16S ribosomal RNA
Rfam family: Bacterial small subunit ribosomal RNA
Source: RNAcentral